RNAcentral lists this long non-coding RNA (272 nucleotides) under Elaeis guineensis (African oil palm). RNAcentral describes it as "long non-coding RNA (EGUI_LNC046161)". The record is from RNAcentral. Lineage: Eukaryota; Viridiplantae; Streptophyta; Magnoliopsida; Arecales; Arecaceae.
GUGCCCCCACAGCCUUGUCAGGAAUAGGAGAAAAACCUCAUCCUGACAUAAGCAAAGUCAAAGAUCCGAUUCUUUUGGACCGAAUGGGGGGAGAGGCCCUCGCAAUGACCUUUAUGUGCCCCCACGGCCCUGUUGGGAACAGAGGGAGAACCUCAUCCUGAUGAUGAUAAAAACCCGAUCAUCCAACAUGAUCGGAUAAAUGGAAAAGUCCCCUCAACGGCACCUCUACACCUCUACGCGACCCUGCGAAAAGCAAGAGGAGGACCCUCACU